UCGAAUCCAGCGCAGGAAGCGCUACAGGUCAAACAGGGAUUUGAAGGAGCGUGCGUCAGGAUUGACGUGGAUAAGGAAAUCGCCCAGUCUGCAAAGCCCCGCCUCGGCGGGGUUUU
Molecule: small RNA, 116 nt
Filed under: Pseudomonas duriflava
Lineage: Bacteria; Pseudomonadati; Pseudomonadota; Gammaproteobacteria; Pseudomonadales; Pseudomonadaceae
Source: RNAcentral